Molecule: non-coding RNA, 149 nt
Organism: Gossypium hirsutum (cotton)
Lineage: Eukaryota; Viridiplantae; Streptophyta; Magnoliopsida; Malvales; Malvaceae
Source: Rfam
UAUUAAAAAUUUCAUCUUCAUCCAUUUGUACCGUUACAAAAGCAUGGUUAAUAGAAUAACCAAACAGUGACACAUGGCAUAUCACAUGUACCUCAUGCUGAGGUAUAAGGGCCAUUUUUCAACAGUAGAAAUGGAUUAAAUUUUUAAUA